This 73-nucleotide transfer RNA is filed under the name Anaerolineales bacterium. RNAcentral's name for it is "tRNA-Gln". It matches the Rfam family "tRNA". From Rfam's summary of the family: Transfer RNA (tRNA) molecules are approximately 80 nucleotides in length. Lineage: Bacteria; Bacillati; Chloroflexota; Anaerolineae; Anaerolineales. The record is from RNAcentral. RNAcentral also lists the same sequence under 1 other name.
UGAGGUGUCGCCAAGUGGCUAAGGCAGCGGACUUUGAAUCCGUUAUUCGCAGGUUCGAGUCCUGCCACCUCAG